GACGGGGCCCGCACAAGCGGUGGAGUAUGUGGUUAAUCGAUGCAACGCGAAGAACCUUACCUGGUCUUGACAUCCCGGAGACCCUUAGGAAACUAGGGGGUGCUUCCAUCUGGAAGAAUCUGGAGACAGGUGCUGCAUGGCUGUCGUCAGCUCGUGUCGUGAGAUGUUGGGUUAAGUCCCGCAACGAGCGCAACCCUUGCCUUUAGUUGCCAGCAGUUCGGCUGGGCACUCUAAAGGGACUGCCGGUGUUAAACCGGAGGAAGGUGGGGAUGACGUCAAGUCCUCAUGGCCUUUAUGACCAGGGCUACACACGUACUACAAUGGCCGAUACAAAGGGCAGCGACACUGCGAGGUGAAGCCAAUCCCGUAAAAUCGGUCUCAGUCCGGAUUGGAGUCUGCAACUCGACUCCAUGAAGUUGGAAUCGCUAGUAAUCGUGGAUCAGCAUGCCACGGUGAAUACGUUCCCGGGCCUU
RNAcentral lists this ribosomal RNA (473 nucleotides) under uncultured Desulfobulbus sp. Its description in RNAcentral is "bacterial SSU rRNA". It matches the Rfam family "Bacterial small subunit ribosomal RNA", at positions 916 to 1381 of the family's 1533-position model. The record is from RNAcentral. Lineage: Bacteria; Pseudomonadati; Thermodesulfobacteriota; Desulfobulbia; Desulfobulbales; Desulfobulbaceae.